CUAAAGGGUUGUCGUAGACUACGACGUUGAUAGGCAGGGUGUGUAAGCGUUGUGAGGCGUUGAGCUAACCUGUACUAAUUGCCCGUGAGGCUUAACCAUACAACACCCAAGGGGUUU
RNAcentral lists this ribosomal RNA (117 nucleotides) under Vibrio albus. Its description in RNAcentral is "Vibrio sp. E4404 partial 23S ribosomal RNA". The stretch from base 1 to 99 matches the Rfam family "Bacterial large subunit ribosomal RNA", at positions 2827 to 2925 of the family's 2925-position model. Lineage: Bacteria; Pseudomonadati; Pseudomonadota; Gammaproteobacteria; Vibrionales; Vibrionaceae. The record is from RNAcentral.